Molecule: ribosomal RNA, 587 nt
Filed under: Yamadazyma sp.
Lineage: Eukaryota; Fungi; Ascomycota; Pichiomycetes; Serinales; Debaryomycetaceae
Description: eukaryotic LSU rRNA
Rfam family: Eukaryotic large subunit ribosomal RNA
Source: RNAcentral
AACAAAGUUUGACCUCAAAUCAGGUAGGAUUACCCGCUGAACUUAAGCAUAUCAAUAAGCGGAGGAAAAGAAACCAACAGGGAUUGCCUUAGUAGCGGCGAGUGAAGCGGCAAUAGCUCAAAUUUGAAAUCUGGCGUCUUCGGCGUCCGAGUUGUAAUUUGAAGAAGGUAUCUUUGGUUUUGGCUCUUGUCUAUGUUCCUUGGAACAGGACGUCACAGAGGGUGAGAAUCCCGUGCGAUGAGAUGCCCAAUUCCAUGUAAAGUUCCUUCGACGAGUCGAGUUGUUUGGGAAUGCAGCUCUAAGUGGGUGGUAAAUUCCAUCUAAAGCUAAAUAUUGGCGAGAGACCGAUAGCGAACAAGUACUGUGAAGGAAAGAUGAAAAGAACUUUGAAAAGAGAGUGAAAAAGUACGUGAAAUUGUUGAAAGGGAAGGGCUUGAGAUCAGACUUGGAAUUUUCCCACACGGGAGCUUUCCGGGCCAGCAUCAGUUUGGAUGGCGGGAUAAGUGCGUAGGAAAGUAGCUCUGCUUCGGUGGAGUGUUAUAGCCUGCGUCGAUACCGCCUGUCUAGACUGAGGACUGCGUCUUUGA